Long non-coding RNA from Phalaenopsis equestris, 1348 nucleotides. RefSeq lists it as uncharacterized. The record is from RefSeq and is a predicted model, not a curated record. The transcript is spliced from 4 exons. NCBI's taxonomy places the organism in Eukaryota, Viridiplantae, Streptophyta, Magnoliopsida, Asparagales, Orchidaceae.
GAGUGGUAACUAUGUAAAUCUUCCAUCCUUGAAAUCGUUCAACUGGAGGUUAGACGUGUAGAUGAAAGUGGGACGGAUGCCCUAGAUUGAGUUCUUAUGCAGCGCCGCUACGUCUGUCUUUCGGAGAACACUCGCCCCAUACUCUCCGGCGGCUAGCUAGCGUCAACCGAUCUUCCGAGGCACGACGCGUUCGAUCUCGAUCUUCUCCUCAUGGAAUCGCCUUUACUCUUCUCCAUCUUGAAGUGUAUCCUUAAUGAACCCCAAGGAAGGCUGUACUAAUUUAGGGGCUGUCUGCAACAAAUUAAACACAUGAUUUUGCAGGAUUUAAGCGGAAUCCACCCAGUAGGUCAUUUUUGACAAAAUAAAUCUCCGGAUGCCGUAAAUCCUGAUUCCACGGAUAUUGGCUAAAAUUCAAAUCUACAAGGUGAUUCCUUGGCUCAGGGAACUACAAAUUUACUGGCAUAAAGAUUGAGUCUAUAACUAAAGCGUGUAUACUGCGUACAAUACUGAGAACACCAACUACGGAUCCGUAUGACUUUCUGGGACUGAGGGAGGAUUGCUAUAUUUACCUGCAUCACCGGCCAAGUAAUAAGAGCGAUUUAAACUACUAACAAGAGGGGUGGAUUCCCAACAUUAACCAGCCGCUUAGAUACUAAACCGUACUAGCCAAUUGCAACCCUACUUGCCAAAGACUUGCGAAUACUAAACCUCUGAACUGGGACCGAUGAAGAAGUCUCGAUGUUCGAGGCUGAAUUUCCAAAGUUGGAAAUUGACUUUGUUCGAUGGCGCACCCAGUAUAGAACAAAUGGAAGGUCAAAUCCUCCAUUUAGGCGCAGGAGUUGUUUCGUCACAUUAAGAAAUGCAUUCUACUUUUCUCAUUUGUGUUAAUGAAAGGCUAAAAGGGAAUAAAGCUGAGUACAAAAUACUCAUUGACUGUCUCAUGGUAGCCGUGCAAAUUUGUAUAAGGGUUCUCAUGAUCUACAGAGAUUCACAGAUUGAGUUUAUUUUCAAUCUAUUUGGAAUUCACUGAUUUUGGUUGGACUUCCCACAGAUAAAUUUUUGCCGGCCACUCCCGGUGGCCUCACCCUUGCAGAGAAAGACUUUAUUGCAAGAAUUUUAUUAGCGUGCAACUAUAGCUGCUUGUAAGGUGGGAAAUAUAACAAGAAAGAAGUUUCUUGAAGACCAAUGAAGUGAAGCUACAAGUUAAUAUCCUUGGUGAGUAUUGACAUGAUUCUUCUCCCAUUUCAAAUGCAUACUUUUUCAUUCAUCAGGGAUGAUGUUAAGAUUAUUAUUUUUAAAAGAUUGAUUUUUUGAUGGAGAAAGUGUCCAAAAUUAAAAAAAAUUUAGA